Non-coding RNA from Paramuricea clavata, 203 nucleotides. The record is from the annotation of a GenBank genome assembly. Lineage: Eukaryota; Metazoa; Cnidaria; Anthozoa; Malacalcyonacea; Plexauridae.
GUCUGGAGAGUUGUAACUGCUCCAAGAUUGUAGCUACGGAAACUUGUAGAACUUACCUUCAAAUGCGAUUUGUUUCCCGUUUGCGGUUAUUCGCGUUUGCGGUUAAUGUGAUUAUUAAGGUUUCUAUCGGAUAUUAGAAUAAUUUCAGUAUUGAAAAAUGGCCUUUGAGCAUUCUGAUUGUCUCUCUCAGCACUAACUCUGAG